GACAGUUUUAAAUGAUGUUACUUU
RNAcentral lists this microRNA (24 nucleotides) under Danio rerio (zebrafish). RNAcentral describes it as "dre-miR-723-5p". Its record names the gene dre-miR-723-5p. Lineage: Eukaryota; Metazoa; Chordata; Actinopteri; Cypriniformes; Danionidae. The record is from miRBase by way of RNAcentral.